CCAAUUGAGCUAUGGCAGCAUCGAUUCAACUGAGUGAUGUGUUUUACUCAGGUAUUCCUUGAUGAUGGCUCUGAAAUACGCUUCAUCAGUUCAUAACUAUCGCAGCCAGGUGGUCGAGAGUUUCGAUAAAUCAAUAUAACUUGGGAUCACAGAGAUGCAGUAUAUAUUGUUCUUCGAUGCAACGGAAAUCAAGCAUUAUCAUGUAUUUGCAAAUAAUACGC
Paramuricea clavata is the source of this 221-nucleotide non-coding RNA. NCBI's taxonomy places the organism in Eukaryota, Metazoa, Cnidaria, Anthozoa, Malacalcyonacea, Plexauridae. The record is from the annotation of a GenBank genome assembly.